UACGUAGGGGGCGAGCGUUAUCCGGAAUUACUGGGCGUAAAACGCACGCAGGCGGUUCGCCAAGUUUGGAGUGACAGUUGUCGGCUCAACCGACAAAGGACUUCAAAAACUGGUGAACUUGAGGACGAGAGAGGAACAUGGAACUCCAGGUGUAGUAGUGAAAUGCGUAGAUAUCUGGAAGAACACCAAUGGCGAAGGCAAUGUUCUGGCUCGUUUCUGACGCUCAGGUGCGAAAGCCAGGGGAGCGAACGGG
This 253-nucleotide ribosomal RNA is filed under the name uncultured bacterium. RNAcentral describes it as "partial 16S ribosomal RNA". It matches the Rfam family "Bacterial small subunit ribosomal RNA", at positions 524 to 776 of the family's 1533-position model. The record is from RNAcentral.